Molecule: ribosomal RNA, 468 nt
Filed under: uncultured bacterium
Lineage: Bacteria
Description: partial 16S ribosomal RNA
Rfam family: Bacterial small subunit ribosomal RNA
Source: RNAcentral
GACGAACGCUGGCGGCGUGCUUAACACAUGCAAGUCGAACGGAAAGGCCCUGCUUUUGUGGGGUGCUCGAGUGGCGAACGGGUGAGUAACACGUGAGUAACCUGCCCUUGACUUUGGGAUAACUUCAGGAAACUGGGGCUAAUACCGGAUAGGAGCUCCUGCGGCAUGGUGGGGGUUGGAAAGUUUCGGCGGUUGGGGAUGGACUCGCGACUUAUCAGCUUGUUGGUGGGGUAGUGGCUUACCAAGGCUUUGACGGGUAGCCGGCCUGAGAGGGUGACCGGCCACAUUGGGACUGAGAUACGGCCCAGACUCCUACGGGAGGCAGCAGUGGGGAAUAUUGCACAAUGGGCGGAAGCCUGAUGCAGCAACGCCGCGUGCGGGAUGACGGCCUUCGGGUUGUAAACCGCUUUCGCCUGUGACGAAGCGUGAGUGACGGUAAUGGGUAAAGAAGCACCGGCUAACUACGUG